RNAcentral lists this ribosomal RNA (497 nucleotides) under uncultured bacterium. Its description in RNAcentral is "partial 16S ribosomal RNA". It matches the Rfam family "Bacterial small subunit ribosomal RNA", at positions 28 to 507 of the family's 1533-position model. The record is from RNAcentral.
GAUGAACGCUGGCGGCGUGCCUAAUACAUGCAAGUCGAGCGAACGGACGAGAAGCUUGCUUCUCUGAUGUUAGCGGCGGACGGGUGAGUAACACGUGGAUAACCUACCUAUAAGACUGGGAUAACUUCGGGAAACCGGAGCUAAUACCGGAUAAUAUUUUGAACCGCAUGGUUCAGAAGUGAAAGACGGUCUUGCUGUCACUUAUAGAUGGAUCCGCGCUGCAUUAGCUAGUUGGUAAGGUAACGGCUUACCAAGGCAACGAUGCAUAGCCGACCUGAGAGGGUGAUCGGCCACACUGGAACUGAGACACGGUCCAGACUCCUACGGGAGGCAGCAGUAGGGAAUCUUCCGCAAUGGGCGAAAGCCUGACGGAGCAACGCCGCGUGAGUGAUGAAGGUCUUCGGAUCGUAAAACUCUGUUAUUAGGGAAGAACAUGUGUGUAAGUAACUGUGCACAUCUUGACGGUACCUAAUCAGAAAGCCACGGCUAACUACGUG